GCUAAGCUUAGCAAUGCAAGCUUGUAACCCAGGUAGGGGCUUUAAGGUGUUGGAACAUUGGCCCAAUAUAGUGGGUCGGUUUGGAGUGGCUCUAUUCUGACCUGCCCAUUCCAAGCCAGAAGUUGGGCCAUGUGGCUUGGGCGAAGGCUCUGGGCUUCAUGGUUCCUAGAGUGGAGGGAAUUGCGUAAGGCUGGCUUCACAGAGCAACGAUCACCUCCCGCUCCGGGCAGUGGAAGGAUAAUGGGUCGGUGCCACCCUGAAACGCUCUAGCCCGCUAGAUUGUCCUCGACUGAACCAAAACCUUU
Molecule: non-coding RNA, 305 nt
Organism: Prunus persica (peach)
Lineage: Eukaryota; Viridiplantae; Streptophyta; Magnoliopsida; Rosales; Rosaceae
Rfam family: Plant signal recognition particle RNA
Source: Rfam